RNA transcript from Diceros bicornis minor, 2107 nucleotides. It is a transcript of the gene named SLAM family member 9-like, with no coding region annotated. The transcript has 7 exons. NCBI's taxonomy places the organism in Eukaryota, Metazoa, Chordata, Mammalia, Perissodactyla, Rhinocerotidae. The record is from RefSeq and is a predicted model, not a curated record.
UGCAUUGCAGGACUGAAGACCCAUUUUCUUGUUUGCUGUCAGUUGAGGGCUGUUCCCAGCUGCUAGAGGCUUCCUACAUGUCUUGGCUUAUGGCCUUUUCCUCCAUCUUCAACAUCAGCAAUGGUCUUCAGUAAAUAGAGGUAGGCUGGACCUCAGUGGGCGACAGCUCUGGAUAUGACAAGAAGGAUGAAACUCCUCAAUCCUAUCUAAGAUUUGUAAGCCUCAGGCUAUUGCAGUGCCUGCUUUGUCGGUUCUCCAGUGGGAAUCUGCAUCGUCAUUUAAGAGACCAGCUCAAGAGACUGUCCUGCUCUACUCAGAAAGUCUCAUCAUGUCUGUGAAAGCACAGAAGUCAGCAUAUUGCCAUUCUAACACAGCAAAGAAGAAGGGGCAGCUCAUCUCUAGGAAGAAGAAUGACAAGAUUUCACAUGUCAAGGUCCACUGCCAAGCCCUCAGGUCCCCUGCUUGGGCGCUUGAAAACACAGUUCCAAAGUGACGACACUGAACAUAUUUAAGCGGAACUGGGAACAUUGAACAGGACUUCUGCUCUCUUCUGCCUUCCUCUUUCUUCCUUGGGAUCUUCAGGGCAAACCCCAAAAGUCCUGUCAGCAUGGGACCUCCUGCUCAGCUUCUCUUCCUCCUCCUGCUUCUCCAGUCUCCAGUUUCCUGCAGGAGAGGAGAUCGACUCCAUCACCUGGCUUCACAACGGAACAUCUAUCAUCUACAUACAGCCAAAUGAAGCAUGAACCAUGAUGACUGCUCCAAAAUGGAAAGAUAGACUGAAGGUCACCAAGUCCUACUCCUUGCAGGUCAGCAACCUGACGAUGGAAGACACAGGAUCUUAUAGCGUCCAAAUAGUUACAAAGACCUCUACAGUGUUUUCCAGUUACACUCUGAGGAUCAUCAGUGAGUAAGGGCAUAGAGGACCAGUUCCCUACUGGUAAGGGUGAAUAGGGCCAUCCACUAAGCCUGGGGGUGGGGGCUAGGUGACCUCAGUAAAGGUUGUCCCUUUGUGUCACUCCUGUGACCAGUCUAGAACCUCUCCCAAGCAGAUCUUUUUCUUUCCUUUUCUUAUUCUUUUUUGUCCUGUUUCAUUACCAGCAGAUUCUGGCUGAUGGUUGUGGUUGUGGCUGAUUGAAAACCAUCACAAAACUUGCUCCUUCCUCCAUUCAGCCCCUGCAAGGCUGGAAAAGGAAGAAUCAGGAAUCUUUUAUCUGAAGGGGUCUGGAUUCCUUGCUGUGUUCUCUCCCCUUUAUUCUCUGGGUCCUUUCCUCCCGGGAUGGCCUAGUAAGGCUCGUUAUUGCUGUUUAUAUCUCUUAAACUAUUAAAACCAUUGCUUUAAGUAGGGCGGCUGCGAAGGCCUCACAUUACAGUGGAUUCUGUCAUCUUUGAGAAUGGGACCUGUCACGCCACCUUGAGGUGUUCUGUGGAGGAAGGAGGAGAGAAUGUUAUAUAUGGGUGGACAUCAAUGGGACCAGGAGCUACUGUGUCCCAGGGAGGAUCCACCCUCAAUGACUCCUGGAGCCUUGAUGAUCUGGAUUGGACCUACGCCUGUGCAGCUAUGAAUCUUGUUAGCAAUAGCACCUCCAGGCUCAUCUUUGCUAAGCAGCUUUGUGCAGGUUCCAAGGCAGCUGCAGGCACUUACUGCCCACUGACAUGGAUUCUGCUGGGGAAGGGACUUCUUCUUCUCAUGUUCCUGGCGGUACUAGGAACUUGGCACAUCCAGACACAGGUGCUCAGCAAACCCAUUAUGUCUAACUCAGGGCAAUGAAGGCCACCAGUGCCCCAGGAGAGCCUGGAUGAGGCCAUCACUUCUCUGUUGCUCACUUAAAUUACCUUCCUGACCUGUACCCUUUCAAGCUGUAGUACUAUGGAUUGUCAAAGACCAAUGGGAUAAAAUUUCAUAUCUUGCAUUUGUGAGUCCAUGUGCACAAUGAGGAAGUUUGGACAAAAAGGGAAACAAUAACUGUAUCAAUACCAUAUGUUAUCUAUUUUAAGGGAAAUAUUCCCAAUAAUUUAAGUUUUCUGAAAUCAAGAUGAGUCAUAGUAUUAAUGUGUAUAGCUCAAAGGGAUAGUGUAUUUUUCUCCUGAAAUGCUGUUAUUAAAAUAA